GGGGAUAUAGCUCAGUGGCACAGCACCUGCCUGGUAAGCACCAGGUCCUGAGUUCAAUUCCCAGUACCA
This 69-nucleotide transfer RNA is filed under the name Cavia porcellus (domestic guinea pig). It matches the Rfam family "tRNA". Rfam says of the family: Transfer RNA (tRNA) molecules are approximately 80 nucleotides in length. Their secondary structure includes four short double-helical elements and three loops (D, anti-codon, and T loops). Lineage: Eukaryota; Metazoa; Chordata; Mammalia; Rodentia; Caviidae. The record is from Rfam by way of RNAcentral.